CGGAUGCAGGAACCGCUCGUGUGUUCAGCGUGUGAAAGACUUUUAUUUAUAACAUAUCCUUGCUCAGCCAUGCUGAAUCCAUCAACCGGAACCUCCUUGUUUUCUGCCUCUCUCGACACACUCCUCACCAUAUUUUUUAACAUUAAAAAAAAAAAAAAUCUUAAAGUCAAAAUUUGAAAAAACUGCCUACAUUUCCAGAGUGAAUUUUGCAAUUUAUUGUUAAGAAGUUUUUGAGGAGUCUUUUUACGUGUGUGUGAUUUUAAGUAUUGACAUUUUUGUGAUUUGAGUGAAUUAUGCUGAUGGUAUCACCAUCUCCUAAAAUUGUGUUUGUUAUGUUUUUGGGGGGAAAUUGAAACUUACAAGAACAUACUAGCACAUGGUGUUGGAAAAACUUGGUAUCCAAAAGUCACUAAUCAUAAAAUGUUCUGUAUUGAUGCACUGAUAAUAAACAUGAAAUGAAAAGUCUUUUUGAUUCUA
This is a long non-coding RNA of Myotis brandtii (Brandt's bat), 477 nucleotides long. RefSeq lists it as uncharacterized. Lineage: Eukaryota; Metazoa; Chordata; Mammalia; Chiroptera; Vespertilionidae. The record is from RefSeq and is a predicted model, not a curated record. The transcript is spliced from 2 exons.